This 879-nucleotide ribosomal RNA is filed under the name uncultured Clostridia bacterium. RNAcentral describes it as "bacterial SSU rRNA". It matches the Rfam family "Bacterial small subunit ribosomal RNA", at positions 62 to 946 of the family's 1533-position model. The record is from RNAcentral. Lineage: Bacteria; Bacillati; Bacillota; Clostridia.
UCGAGCGGAGAUAGGUGAGGAGCAAUCUGAAUUUAUCUGAGCGGCGGACGGGUGAGUAACGCGUGAGCAACCUGCCUUUUACAGGGGGAUAACGCAGCGAAAGCUGCACUAAUACCGCAUAAGACCACAGAGUCGGAUGGCUUGGUGGUAAAAGGAGCAAUCCGGUAGAAGAUGGGCUCGCGUCCGAUUAGGUAGUUGGUGGGGUGAAGGCUCACCAAGCCUGAGAUCGGUAGCCGACCUGAGAGGGUGAUCGGCCACACUGGAACUGAGAGACGGUCCAGACUCCUACGGGAGGCAGCAGUGGGGAAUAUUGGGCAAUGGGGGGAACCCUGACCCAGCAACGCCGCGUGAGGGAAGAAGGUCUUCGGAUUGUAAACCUCUGUUCCUGGAGAAGAGCAGAAGACGGUAUCCAGGGAGGAAGCCCCGGCUAACUACGUGCCAGCAGCCGCGGUAAUACGUAGGGGGCGAGCGUUGUCCGGAAUAAUUGGGCGUAAAGGGCGCGUAGGCGGCUCUGCAAGUCAGUAGUGGAAGUCCCAUUUUCAAGGUGGGGAGGGCUAUUGAAACUGCGGAGCUUGAGUGCAGGAGAGGUUAUCGGAAUUCCCGGUGUAGCGGUGAAAUGCGUAGAGAUCGGGAGGAACACCAGUGGCGAAGGCGGGUAACUGGACUGCAACUGACGCUGAGGCGCGAAAGUGUGGGGAGCAAACAGGAUUAGAUACCCUGGUAGUCCACACUGUAAACGAUGAAUGCUAGGUGUAGGGGGUAUCGACCCCUUCUGUGCCGGAGUAAACACAAUAAGCAUUCCGCCUGGGGAGUACGGUCGCAAGAUUAAAACUCAAAGGGAAUUGACGGGGGCCCGCACAAGCAGCGGAGCAUGUGGUU